UCGAAAACAUUAAUAAAUUGUAAUUAUUCUAAACUUUUAGUGUAUAAAGAAACAAAAUGGCAAUGCAAGCAUGUUUUACAGGUGUAUGCUUAUCAACAAAUCACGUUUUACACAGCUUAAAACAUUCAUAUAUAAAUUUAUGAUGUAGGAACUUUAAAUCAAUCAUACUUCUGUUUGUAUGAUGUGAAAUGUCUUUAAGUGCCCUUCGAUUGCACUAGCUGGAAUCUUUCUCAAGUUGAAUGGAACGCAGCAUUAAAGUUCUUCAUGACCUCACUCCUUCAUCAGGCCACACCCCUUUAGACCCUUUGACUCCACCUCCCAAAGAUAACAGCUGCUGGCCAUUGGUUGCUCACAUGGCUGUGGCACACAUCAGGGGUGGGGCUUCACUGGCCAAUAGCAUGUCUGCUUGCCCUGGCACCUCCUCUGUCUCCGCCCUUCCAGUGCAAUUAUUAAUACUGUCCGUCUCUUUGCCAUCUUAUCCAACUCAUUUUUAUCUAAUGUCCCUUCAGGGAUUUACAUUUUCAUUCAUUUGAUCUAUUAAGACUUCCCGCUUUACCUUAACCGUCCAAUCAUCAUGCUCAAACGCUGUUUUUGUUUGUCGGACAAGGGAGGGGCUAUAUUUACACUCAUUAAUAUGCUAAUGUCCUGUUGAUAUGGGUAUGUAUUUAUUGUGACAGUUGUUUUGUUCAUGUCUUCAUGAUUUUACCCUGUGGAGCACCCAGCCGAGAACCUCGCAACCUCAUUGGUUUCGCCGGGUAUAUAUAUAUAUGUAAUGGUCUAAAUGUACUCUGAGCCAAAUGUACAGGUUAACCAGACAUUUAACAUACAUCAUGCGAGCUGUGAGCGUUUGUAUGGCUCUCUUAACCUGAAGAAUAGACUUGGAGGUUUUUAAUUCAACUGAUUAUUUCCCCUUUUUAAUGUAAUCACUGUGGUUUGACAAAGGGGAGUUUGAUUUUUCAGGGGGUUUUUUUUCUUUUGUGAAGAGAUUUUUUUUCCGUCAUCUUCCACUGUUUACUCACCAUCCCUGAGGCACAUACUAAUUUAAACUUUUCUUUUUAGAUUUUUUAAUUAUCUCUCACAGUCCUUUUGGGUCCAGGAGAGGUUUUCCAUAUUUAAAAUUUUAGUUUUUUUUUUCUUUUAUUAUUAUUUUUUCUUGAUUCUUAAGUUUGAAGCCCAAAACAUCUACAUCUCUACAGGCAGCAUCGUGGAAAUGAAAAUUCGCACAUGCCACAGAUCUGCUAUUUAAUGCUGAAUGCUUUUAUUAUGUUUAACAAAGCGCUUAUUGAUGAAUUAUGAUGUUUUAUGUUGAAUGAACUGAGCAGCCUCUCAGAAUAACUGACUCACUCGCUAUUGAUGAACCUGUAAAUAUAAAAAUGUGUUAUAAAUAAGAAAUGGUUUUGAAAGCGGAGAACAUCUCACCAUCUUGAAGAGGAAAACGUCAUUUCAUGUCUUCCGAACAUAUACACUUUCUCAAGUGCUCUGUCUCUCUUUGAGAACAAAACAAUAGCUAAACAACUUCAUUUUAGCCUUUUCAGCAUUGUUAUACUUUGCUGGCUAUCACCAUAUGACAUAUACAUACACACCUGUCAGUGACAAGCAUCGUUUGCCCUCGGCCCUUACCUGCUCUAUUUGGGGCUUCAAAACACCAUUCCCGAAUCAGAGAAUUA
Molecule: long non-coding RNA, 1667 nt
Organism: Sinocyclocheilus anshuiensis
Lineage: Eukaryota; Metazoa; Chordata; Actinopteri; Cypriniformes; Cyprinidae
Exons: 2
Source: RefSeq, a predicted model, not a curated record